AUCUUGAAAACGGAAAAUAAAAACAGCAGACCUAUGAAGGUCGAAGGGGAAGAAAAGCUGUAUCGAUUGUUGAGAUCUGGCGACUUGUUUAAAUUUCAUCAGCCUCACUUCUAUGAACUCUCAGGACAGCUCACAGUAUGGCAGCUGACAUUCUACAGAGUGAGCAGGUGAAGGAAAGAAAGAAAAGUUUUCAAGAUUGUUUUGGCUCUAGCAAAACAAGUUGGAACAUUCACAUCAUCCAAGACAACACCAACAUUUUUGUAAUGGCCUGCAAGGCCUUCCGAGAUCUACCUCCUGCAACUCAGCUUCUCCUGUGCUCUCCUUCUGGACUCACUCUGCCUCAGCAACACUGGUCCCUGUUGCCCCACCAAUAUGCCAGCUGCACUGAUGAGGAAACUGAAACAGAAAAUCCAGAGUAAAUUCCACCAGGCCACACAGCAAGGUCUGAUAGAGCCAGGAGAGACUUUAUGAAAUCCAGACUCUCACACUAAUGCUCUAUCAGCUAGACCUCCAUGUGAGUCUCCCCAAUGUAGGUAGGAAGUGCUUUCCCUAAAAUGCUCAUAAAGCAAAUCAGAGCAAUGCUGCAUUCCAUGUGAUUUCUAAUUUGAAAUGCAAACAAUUGCCAAUUUGUUUGACUUGUAUUUAUAAUUAUUUCCUUGUGAAUUACUCAUCACUAAAUGCUUUAUAAAUAUUUUCUCUUUUUUUCCUCAAUGUCUAUGGAAUGAUCACAGCAUAGAAAAUGUUGGCUUUCAAGGAUUUAUUAAUAUCUCCUUUUGAAAUAACAUGUAUUUGUAAGACAGAAUAAAAUCACUUUAAAGAAACAAA
RNAcentral lists this long non-coding RNA (825 nucleotides) under Homo sapiens (human). Its description in RNAcentral is "testis expressed 41". The record is from RNAcentral. Lineage: Eukaryota; Metazoa; Chordata; Mammalia; Primates; Hominidae.